This 216-nucleotide unclassified non-coding RNA is filed under the name Hevea brasiliensis (rubber tree). Lineage: Eukaryota; Viridiplantae; Streptophyta; Magnoliopsida; Malpighiales; Euphorbiaceae. The record is from RNAcentral.
AGAAGAAGUAGCUUUGAAAGUCUCAACUGAUUUUCAUGUAGCUGGUCGAGGAAGAGGUAGAGGCAGUAACAGGGGUCGUGGUAGAGGCAGAGGCCGAGGCAACAACGGCCAUGGAGCAGGAACAAGUAGCUAUGACUCGAGGUCCUUUGACAAAUCCAAAAUUGAAUGUUAUCGAUGCCACAAGUUUGGUCAUUUUGCAUAUGAAUGUCAAACUGA